CAUAAAGAUGAGGGACGAUUAGAAACUAAUCGUCACGUGGGAUGAUUAGUUUCUAAUCGUCCCUCAUGUUUUA
This is a non-coding RNA of Paramuricea clavata, 73 nucleotides long. The record is from the annotation of a GenBank genome assembly. Lineage: Eukaryota; Metazoa; Cnidaria; Anthozoa; Malacalcyonacea; Plexauridae.